AUAUAUAUUCAAAAUUUGAACUGGACAUGAACAUGCAUAUAACAAACAAAGAUGUCUUCUAUCAGGAACGAAAGUAAUAUGAAUAUUACAAUGGAUUUAGACAUGUCAGAUCCAAAAGUUCCAAUUGAUUCUAUUGACACUGGGUAGUGCAGAUGAUAGCCUUCAGUUGACAUGACUCUUGGAUUCAGAAAGAUUGGUGUUUACACAUAAUUUGGACAACAUCUUUUGUAUUUGAAAUCUUGAAGGACAGUGAGUACAGAGAAACAGAACUAAAAGCUACACAGAUGUAACACGACAACCUUCAGAGGACAGAGACAAUUUUCAA
This is a long non-coding RNA of Mytilus trossulus (common blue mussel), 325 nucleotides long. RefSeq lists it as uncharacterized. Lineage: Eukaryota; Metazoa; Mollusca; Bivalvia; Mytilida; Mytilidae. The transcript has 2 exons. The record is from RefSeq and is a predicted model, not a curated record.